Molecule: ribosomal RNA, 497 nt
Filed under: uncultured bacterium
Lineage: Bacteria
Description: partial 16S ribosomal RNA
Rfam family: Bacterial small subunit ribosomal RNA
Source: RNAcentral
GAUGAACGCUGGCGGCGUGCCUAAUACAUGCAAGUCGAGCGAACAGACGAGGAGCUUGCUCCUCUGACGUUAGCGGCGGACGGGUGAGUAACACGUGGAUAACCUACCUAUAAGACUGGGAUAACUUCGGGAAACCGGAGCUAAUACCGGAUAAUAUAUUGAACCGCAUGGUUCAAUAGUGAAAGACGGUUUUGCUGUCACUUAUAGAUGGAUCCGCGCCGCAUUAGCUAGUUGGUAAGGUAACGGCUUACCAAGGCAACGAUGCGUAGCCGACCUGAGAGGGUGAUCGGCCACACUGGAACUGAGUCACGGUCCAGACUCCUACGGGAGGCAGCAGUAGGGAAUCUUCCGCAAUGGGCGAAAGCUUGACGGAGCAACGCCGCGUGAGUGAUGAAGGUCUUCGGAUCGUAAAACUCUGUUAUUAGGGAAGAACAAAUGUGUAAGUAACUAUGCACGUCUUGACGGUACCUAAUCAGAAAGCCACGGCUAACUACGUG